This 643-nucleotide ribosomal RNA is filed under the name uncultured Actinomycetes bacterium. RNAcentral describes it as "bacterial SSU rRNA". It matches the Rfam family "Bacterial small subunit ribosomal RNA", at positions 232 to 885 of the family's 1533-position model. The record is from RNAcentral. Lineage: Bacteria; Bacillati; Actinomycetota; Actinomycetes.
CGCGGCCUAUCAGCUUGUUGGUGGGGUAAUGGCCUACCAAGGCGACGACGGGUAGCCGGCCUGAGAGGGCGACCGGCCACACUGGGACUGAGACACGGCCCAGACUCCUACGGGAGGCAGCAGUGGGGAAUAUUGCACAAUGGGCGAAAGCCUGAUGCAGCGACGCCGCGUGAGGGAUGACGGCCUUCGGGUUGUAAACCUCUUUCAGCAGGGAAGAAGCGAAAGUGACGGUACCUGCAGAAGAAGCGCCGGCUAACUACGUGCCAGCAGCCGCGGUAAUACGUAGGGCGCAAGCGUUGUCCGGAAUUAUUGGGCGUAAAGAGCUCGUAGGCGGCUUGUCACGUCGGAUGUGAAAGCCCGGGGCUUAACCUCGGGUCUGCAUUCGAUACGGGCUAGCUAGAGUGUGGUAGGGGAGAUCGGAAUUCCUGGUGUAGCGGUGAAAUGCGCAGAUAUCAGGAGGAACACCGGUGGCGAAGGCGGAUCUCUGGGCCAUUACUGGCGCUGAGGAGCGAAAGCGUAGGGAGCGAACAGGAUUAGAUACCCUGGUAGUCCACGCCGUAAACGUUGGGCACUAGGUGUGGGGGACAUUCCACGUUCUCCGCGCCGUAGCUAACGCAUUAAGUGCCCCGCCUGGGGAGUACGG